GACGAACGCUGGCGGCGUGCUUAACACAUGCAAGUCGAACGGAAAGGCCCUGCUUUUGUGGGGUGCUCGAGUGGCGAACGGGUGAGUAACACGUUAGUAACCUUCCCUUGACUUUGGGAUAACUUCAUGAAACUGGGGCUAAUACCGGAUAGGAGCUCCUGCUGCAUGGUGGGGGUUGGAAAGUUUCGGCGGUUGGGGAUGGACUCGCGGCUUAUCAGCUUGUUGGUGGGGUAGUGGCUUACCAAGGCUUUGACGGGUAGCCGGCCUGAGAGGGUGACCGGCAACAUUGGGACUGAGAUACGGCCCAGACUCCUACGGGAGGCAGCAGUGGGGAAUAUUGCACAAUGGGCGGAAGCAUGAUGCAGCAACGCCGCGUGCGGGAUGACGGCCUUCGGGUUGUAAACCGCUUUCGCCUGUGACGAAGCGUGAGUGACGGUAAUGGGUAAAGAAGCACCGGCUAACUACGUG
RNAcentral lists this ribosomal RNA (468 nucleotides) under uncultured bacterium. Its description in RNAcentral is "partial 16S ribosomal RNA". It matches the Rfam family "Bacterial small subunit ribosomal RNA", at positions 28 to 507 of the family's 1533-position model. The record is from RNAcentral.